This 460-nucleotide ribosomal RNA is filed under the name uncultured bacterium. RNAcentral's name for it is "partial 16S ribosomal RNA". It matches the Rfam family "Bacterial small subunit ribosomal RNA", at positions 338 to 795 of the family's 1533-position model. The record is from RNAcentral.
CCUACGGGAGGCUGCAGUGAGGAAUAUUGGUCAAUGGGCGCGAGCCUGAACCAGCCAAGUAGCGUGAAGGAUGACUGCCCUACGGGUUGUAAACUGCUUUUAUAAGGGAGUAAAGUCAGGCACGUGUGCCUUUUUGAAUGUAUUUUACGAAUAAGGAUCGGCUAACUCCGUGCCAGCAGCCGCGGUAAUACGGAGGAUCCAAGCGUUAUCCGGAUUUAUUGGGUUUAAAGGGUGCGUAGGUGGUUAAUUAAGUCAGCGGUGAAAGUUUGUGGCUCAACCUUAAAAUUGCCGCUGAAACUGUUCGACUUGAGAAUAUUUGAGGUAGGCGGAAUGCGUGGUGUAGCGGUGAAAUGCAUAGAGAUCACACAGAACUCCGAUUGCGAAGGCAGCUUACUAAACUAUAACUGACACUGAAGCACGAAAGCGUGGGGAUCAAACAGGAUUAGAUACCCGGGUAGUC